Molecule: long non-coding RNA, 761 nt
Organism: Stegostoma tigrinum
Lineage: Eukaryota; Metazoa; Chordata; Chondrichthyes; Orectolobiformes; Stegostomatidae
Exons: 3
Source: RefSeq, a predicted model, not a curated record
UGUACAGCGCAUGCGCGGCCGUCAUUCGUCAAUGACUGGUUUCUCUAAUCCACAAAGGUGUAUUACAAGAUGAUUACCAAUCAAGAAACUGAAACCAGACAUUGCAUCAAAAUCUGACAGAAUCGCUCAGUUAGUCAGGAUAUUAUCGGCCUUUGGGUGUAAAGAAUUGAGAGGGCUUGAAACUGGAACUGAAAUAUGACAUCAGGUCCGACGGAAGACUUGCCCGGCACAUCAUAAGCUCAAGUCGUGAUUGGGAUUUUGGACAUGGAGCGGAAUGGCACCAGUCACAUCUGCUGUAUGUGCGGACGAGGCUUCAGCAAAACAAACCACCAGUGGAUUCACACCGGCGAGAGGCCGUUCUCCUGCUUGGUGUGCAGGAAAGGGCAUUCGCAGGGUCAGCCUGGCUGCUGAUGCACCGGCGCGUUCACGCUCGGGGGGGAGCGACGGUUCAUUCAGCUGCGUGACAGGUAGCAAGGAAUUCCUGAGCUGCUCCACCCUGCUGCACUGCCCAGCGAGUUCACCGUUAACUCCAGAAGCUGGAUUUCACGGUUUAAAUCGAACCCAGGACUGAACCUUUCUGGGGAACGGUCGCUGGAGCUGAAACGUUAACUCUGAUUCCUUUUUUGUCCUCUUUCUUCACAGAUGCUGCCUGACCUGUUGAGCUUUUCCGGCAACUUUGUUCCUGCCCAAUUUAUACCUGUAAAUAUUCAAAUAACUUUUAAGAAAUUGAUAAAUACAAAGUGUGUCGAGUCUUUUUAAUA